Molecule: ribosomal RNA, 460 nt
Filed under: uncultured bacterium
Lineage: Bacteria
Description: partial 16S ribosomal RNA
Rfam family: Bacterial small subunit ribosomal RNA
Source: RNAcentral
CCUACGGGAGGCUGCAGUGAGGAAUAUUGGUCAAUGGACGCAAGUCUGAACCAGCCAUGCCGCGUGCAGGAAGACGGCUCUAUGAGUUGUAAACUGCUUUUGUACGAGGGUAAACGCAGAUACGCGUAUCUGUCUGAAAGUAUCGUACGAAUAAGGAUCGGCUAACUCCGUGCCAGCAGCCGCGGUAAUACGGAGGAUUCAAGCGUUAUCCGGAUUUAUUGGGUUUAAAGGGUGCGUAGGCGGUCGGAUAAGUUAGCGGUGAAAUCCCGAGGCUCAACUUCGGAAUUGCCUCUGAUACUGUUCGGCUAGAGAGUAGUUGCGGUAGGCGGAAUGUAUGGUGUAGCGGUGAAAUGCUUAGAGAUCAUACAGAACACCGAUUGCGAAGGCAGCUUACCAGGGUACAUCUGACGUUGAGGCACGAAAGCGUGGGGAGCGAACAGGAUUAGAUACCCGAGUAGUC